Molecule: unclassified non-coding RNA, 404 nt
Filed under: uncultured fungus
Lineage: Eukaryota; Fungi
Description: partial contains 5.8S ribosomal RNA, internal transcribed spacer 2, and large subunit ribosomal RNA
Source: RNAcentral
AACGCACAUUGCGCCCGCGGGUAUUCCUGCGGGCAUGUCUGUUUGAGAACCUGGACGUGCCUCACCUCAAGAUUGAUUCUUGACCUUUGUUGGUUGGGGAUCUCUCGCGAGGUGGAUCUGGGCCCUUCUCCUGACCUUUCAAGGAGUGGCCUCAAAUGAAGUUCGAGUUCAAUGCUGAUUGCAGCACCCGUGAACACCGCUGACCGCAGACGUGAUCAAGUACCUUCACUGGUUUCCCAUUCGUGUCGAUGGUCUCAGUUGUUUGCGGCUAAGUCUCUCAGUUGCGCAUCUUCAGUGGUGCGCGUGAAACGUCAUUGAACCGUCAUGCCUUCUAAUUGCCAGGUCUGUUUUGACAAACCUGAACAUAUGGUCUCAAAUCAGGCAAGAUUACCCGCUGAACUUAA